AUUUCCUCCUGCCUGCCUGUUUUCAGAACUGAACUGGGGCCGAAUGCAAUGGCUCCCACCCAUAAUCCCAGCAAUUUGGGAGGCCUAGGCAGGCGUAUCACUUGAGCCCAGGAGUUCAAGACCAGCCUGGCCAACAGGGUGAAACCCUAUGUCUAUAUAAAAAGAAAUUAAAAAAAAAAAAACUGAACUGGAACAGUCUUUUCCUGGGUCUUGAGCCUGCCGGCAUUCAGACUGGAACUCUACCAUCAGCUCUCCUAGGUCUGCAGUUUGCCAGCUGUAGAUCUAGAGUCUUGUAAGCCUCCAUAAUUGGUGUUCUAAAGCUCUCCAUUGCUGAAGAAAAGGAUUUCCACUCAAUGAAAUCAUGACGCAGAAGAUUAUGCAGUUUGAGUCUCAAGAUGUAAAAGGUCUGAAGAGACUGCAUAUAGGUAGGAACUAACUGAAAAAUAAGAAGAAGGCCUGUGCUAUGAUAUACGUUGAUACAGUGGCAGUCAGGUUAUUUCUUUUCCUUUGUUCCUUUGUUCCUUUGUGUGUGUGCCCUGAAUGAUACAACUUAUUUUCAAUAGAAAUAAAUCAUGCAUCUUCAAAUUGGAUGUGGCUAACUGGGUGUAGAGGGUUUUGGUCCAUGAGUAGCACACAGUCUAACAUCUGCUGUUACACUUUGUUUACUUAGAAUAUAAAUUAAAUUCC
RNAcentral lists this long non-coding RNA (687 nucleotides) under Homo sapiens (human). RNAcentral describes it as "HSALNT0113472". Lineage: Eukaryota; Metazoa; Chordata; Mammalia; Primates; Hominidae. The record is from RNAcentral.